Oleoguttula mirabilis is the source of this 97-nucleotide non-coding RNA. The record is from the annotation of a GenBank genome assembly. Lineage: Eukaryota; Fungi; Ascomycota; Dothideomycetes; Mycosphaerellales; Teratosphaeriaceae.
GCUGCGGUGGCCGAGUGGUCUAAGGCGGUAGAUUUAAGUCGUUCGACGUGAAACUCUACUGGAGCGAUCCGCGCGAGUUCGAACCUCGUCCGCAGCA